RNAcentral lists this ribosomal RNA (504 nucleotides) under uncultured bacterium. RNAcentral describes it as "bacterial SSU rRNA". It matches the Rfam family "Bacterial small subunit ribosomal RNA", at positions 28 to 531 of the family's 1533-position model. The record is from RNAcentral.
GAUGAACGCUAGCGGCAGGCCUAACACAUGCAAGUCGAGGGGUAGAAGGAGCUUGCUCCUUUGAGACCGGCGCACGGGUGCGUAACGCGUAUGCAAUCUACCUUGUACAGGGGAAUAGCCCAGAGAAAUUUGGAUUAAUGCCCCAUAGUAUAUAACCUUCGCAUGUUGGUUAUAUUAAAGUUCCAACGGUACAAGAUGAGCAUGCGUCCCAUUAGUUAGUUGGUAAGGUAACGGCUUACCAAGACGAUGAUGGGUAGGGGUCCUGAGAGGGAGAUCCCCCACACUGGUACUGAGACACGGACCAGACUCCUACGGGAGGCAGCAGUGAGGAAUAUUGGUCAAUGGUCGCAAGACUGAACCAGCCAUGCCGCGUGCAGGAAGACGGUCCUAUGGAUUGUAAACUGCUUUUAUACAGGAAGAAACCCUCCACGUGUGGGAGCUUGACGGUACUGUAGGAAUAAGGAUCGGCUAACUCCGUGCCAGCAGCCGCGGUAAAGUCGUACG